CAUAGAUAUGUUAUUGUUGGAAGUAUUGCCACUGUGUUAGUAUUAUAACAAAGAAACGACUGUAGAUCCCAUUUCUCAUUUUGAAAAAUGGUUAUGUUAAUUGAAGACGGCUUGGAAUAUAAAUUGUGUUGCCUGUGUUUAUCAAUAUUAAAUAAUUACGUCUAAAGACUAUCUUAAGAUGUGUCGUGAUCGAUUCGUUGGUUCCUUACGGGCGCGAGUUACACGAUUCAUAAUUAAUACGUUUGAAACAUAACAAUUUGAUUCCUUCUAUUGCUUUGAAAAGCAAAGAUAAAUGAUAUAAAUGAAAUACAAUGUAAACGAUUUCAUGAGGUCGGAAUUAAUCUCGUUCGUACACCUUACAAAACACCACACAAACGCCCAUUUAUGAGCUAUAUUAUCAAGAUGCCUGUACCACGUGACUUUUUCGUAUUUGUGUGGGACAAUCGGAUGUCAACAAAACAUCGCUUUAGAAUUCCAUGUGUUUUCGAACAGUGUGGUAGAGAGAUCAAAACACAGUCGGGGAUCUCCAAACACAAAGCCACCCACGCACGGACAGAAAAAUAUUUCUGUUGCGGCAAACCUUUUCUUGGAGAUUAAAGUAUUUUUUGGAAGCACCUUCAAGAGACGUACUGAUAUCUUGAUCAAUGAAAAGUUGUCAUAUAUUGUAAAUGAUCAUAAGUUUAAAAGACUAUUUGUUUUAUUACCAGAUGGUGCAAGUAUUGCAGUGAAAGAAAACAAAGUAAAUAUAAAAUAAAAUUUUGACAAUUCAACAAAUUGAAAAAACAUUUAAUGUUUAUUACUUGUUGCAGUGGUAACAAGACCUUGCAGCCCCCUGUCAUAACCGGGGCGAAUGAGUAUUUUCAUUAAAUAUCUUAAACUAGUUUCAUUUAUUCAGAUUUCAUUUGAAAUUGAGUUCACGAACUAUUAAUACAAUUCAAUAUGUUUAUUGGUAUAAUGACCCUCCUAAGUCAAGACAUUUUGGCGAUGAUCAUUUGUUACGUGUUAAUUGAAGCAUUUAUAUGUUUGUUUAGCAUGAUUUGCAAAUUCAUACUUUGACUGAAUACAAUUACUUUGUGAAAACUGAUGGACUU
Molecule: long non-coding RNA, 1091 nt
Organism: Dreissena polymorpha
Lineage: Eukaryota; Metazoa; Mollusca; Bivalvia; Myida; Dreissenidae
Exons: 3
Source: RefSeq, a predicted model, not a curated record